UACGGAGGGGGCUAGCGUUGUUCGGAAUUACUGGGCGUAAAGCGCACGUAGGCGGACCAUCAAGUUGGGGGUGAAAUCCCGGGGCUCAACCCCGGAACUGCCUUCAAAACUGUUGGUCUGGAGGUCGAGAGAGGUGAGUGGAAUUCCGAGUGUAGAGGUGAAAUUCGUAGAUAUUCGGAGGAACACCAGUGGCGAAGGCGGCUCACUGGCUCGAUACUGACGCUGAGGUGCGAAAGCGUGGGGAGCAAACAGG
This 253-nucleotide ribosomal RNA is filed under the name uncultured bacterium. RNAcentral describes it as "partial 16S ribosomal RNA". It matches the Rfam family "Bacterial small subunit ribosomal RNA", at positions 524 to 776 of the family's 1533-position model. The record is from RNAcentral.